GCUGUAGUCGCGGAGCUGUGUCUGUUCCCCGGAGUCCGUCGGCGGCUGUUGUGUCGGGAGCCUGAUCGCGAUGGGGACAAAGGCGCAAGUCGAGAGGAAACUGUUGUGCCUCUUCAUAUUGGCGAUCCUGUUGUGGUCCUGACUUGAAGCUACAAAUAAAAGGAUAUUUCAUGAAUUUGACUUUGAAAACAUGGAUGAGAAUAAUUGUGCUCCCUGGCAUUGGGCAGUGUUACAGUGCACUCUUCUGAACCUGAAGUCAGAAUUCCUGAGAAUAAUCCUGUGAAGUUGUCCUGUGCCUACUCGGGCUUUUCUUCUCCCCGUGUGGAGUGGAAGUUUGACCAAGGAGACACCACCAGACUCGUUUGCUAUAAUAACAAGAUCACAGCUUCCUAUGAGGACCGGGUGACCUUCUUGCCAACUGGUAUCACCUUCAAGUCCGUGACACGGGAAGACACUGGGACAUACACUUGUAUGGUCUCUGAGGAAGGCGGCAACAGCUAUGGGGAGGUCAAGGUCAAGCUCAUCGUGCUUGUGCCUCCAUCCAAGCCUACAGUUAACAUCCCCUCCUCUG
RNAcentral lists this small RNA (571 nucleotides) under Pan troglodytes (chimpanzee). RNAcentral describes it as "processed transcript". Lineage: Eukaryota; Metazoa; Chordata; Mammalia; Primates; Hominidae. The record is from RNAcentral.